CACGUAGGGGGCGAGCGUUGUUCGGAAUUACUGGGCGUAAAGGGCAUGUAGGCGGCUCUAUAAGCCCGGCGUGGAAGCCCAUGGCUCAACCGUGGGAUUGCGCUGGGAACUGCAGGGCUUGAAUCAUGGAGAGGGAGCUAGAAUUCCUGGUGUAGGGGUGAAAUCUGUAGAGAUCAGGAAGAAUACCAGUGGCGAAGGCGAGCUCCUGGCCAAUGAUUGACGCUGAGGUGCGAAAGUGUGGGGAUCAAAC
Molecule: ribosomal RNA, 250 nt
Filed under: uncultured bacterium
Lineage: Bacteria
Description: partial 16S ribosomal RNA
Rfam family: Bacterial small subunit ribosomal RNA
Source: RNAcentral